UACGUAGGGUGCGAGCGCUAAUCGGAAUUACUGGGCGUAAAGCGUGCGCAGGCGGUUUUGCAAGCCGGAUGUGAAAUCCCCGGGCUUAACCUGGGAAUGGCAUUUGGGACUGCAAGGCUGGAGUGCGGCAGAGGAGACUGGAAUUCCUGGUGUAGCAGUGAAAUGCGUAGAUAUCAGGAGGAACACCGAUGGCGAAGGCAGGUCUCUGGGCUGACACUGACGCUCAUGCACGAAAGCGUGGGGAGCGAACAGG
This 253-nucleotide ribosomal RNA is filed under the name uncultured bacterium. RNAcentral describes it as "partial 16S ribosomal RNA". It matches the Rfam family "Bacterial small subunit ribosomal RNA", at positions 524 to 776 of the family's 1533-position model. The record is from RNAcentral.